UGAGGAAUAUUGGUCAAUGGACGCAAGUCUGAACCAGCCAAGUAGCGUGCAGGAUGACGGCCCUAUGGGUUGUAAACUGCUUUUAUAUGGGGAUAAAGUGGGGAACGUGUUCCCUUUUGCAGGUACCAUAUGAAUAAGGACCGGCUAAUUCCGUGCCAGCAGCCGCGGUAAUACGGAAGGUUCGGGCGUUAUCCGGAUUUAUUGGGUUUAAAGGGAGCGUAGGCCGUUUGGUAAGCGUGUUGUGAAAUGUAGGAGCUCAACUUCUAGAUUGCAGCGCGAACUGUCAGACUUGAGUGCGCACAACGUAGGCGGAAUUCAUGGUGUAGCGGUGAAAUGCUUAGAUAUCAUGAAGAGCUCCGAUUGCGAAGGCAGCUUACGGGAGCGCAACUGACGCUGAAGCUCGAAGGUGCGGGUAUCGAACAGGAUUAGAUACCCUGGUAGUCCGCACAGUAAACGAUGGAUGCCCGCUGUUAGCACCUAGUGUUAGCGGCUAAGCGAAAGCAUUAAGCAUCCCACCUGGGGAGUACGCCGGCAACGGUG
Molecule: ribosomal RNA, 540 nt
Filed under: uncultured bacterium
Lineage: Bacteria
Description: bacterial SSU rRNA
Rfam family: Bacterial small subunit ribosomal RNA
Source: RNAcentral